UUCUGUAUAAAAGGGUAACCCAGCCCAGGACAGGUUUAUUCAGCUGCUUGUGUUCCUUUGACGAACUUCUUUUGAGCUGCUCCGGUUAGGUUUUGAGAUUUCACUCCUUCAUCAUGAAGAAUUGGGUUUAUCUAGUUUGUCUGUAUCUGCUGGUGGACAGGUCUUUCGGUAACAGCUGCCCCUGCCGCGACAGUCCCGACUUCAGGUGCAUUGGAGAGCCUGGCGAAGAGGAUUGUACCCACGGGAGGGUGGCCGACAGGUGUGGCUGCUGUCUAGAGUGUGCUAAGGGCCCGGCAGAGGAGUGUGGAGGGGUAUGGGACCUAAAUGGUCACUGUGCUGAAGGUUACCAAUGCGUCAAGACCCCCGGAGGAUUCGACGACGGCACUUACUUCGAAGGAACGUGCCAGUGAACGGCUAAGGAGAUGAUGUCUGUGGCGGGAUCUCUUGUUCUGGAAACCCCAGCUACAUCGUUCUUGACUUUUUCAUAUGAAUAACUCAGCAGCUGGUCCAACAGCGGUUCCUUGGGACUAACGUGCCUCCCGUGUGACCAGAUUAUAUGUUUGCAACCUGUCGGGUGUCCUUACGGCUACGUCAAAGGAGUCUGCAGCUGUUGCGAUGUGUGUGCAAAGGGCCCGGGAGAGUUCUGUGGGGG
This is a long non-coding RNA of Macrobrachium nipponense, 652 nucleotides long. RefSeq lists it as uncharacterized. NCBI's taxonomy places the organism in Eukaryota, Metazoa, Arthropoda, Malacostraca, Decapoda, Palaemonidae. The record is from RefSeq and is a predicted model, not a curated record. The transcript has 5 exons.